This 418-nucleotide long non-coding RNA is filed under the name Meriones unguiculatus (Mongolian gerbil). RNAcentral describes it as "lncRNA (ENSMUGG00000014998.1)". The record is from RNAcentral. Lineage: Eukaryota; Metazoa; Chordata; Mammalia; Rodentia; Muridae.
CCCCUACCCAUCCCAAAAGGUUUAAAUAGCCUUUGUUCCACCUGCCACUCCCCCAAUCCCGAAGGUGGAUCCUGAGAAGCAGAAAUGCCUGUGGAAUGGAGAGCUCUGGCCAGGCAUCAAGUGAGCACAGAUGAGAACAGACUUAGUGGUAUCUCACUGGCCCAUAUGGGGGUGAAUUUACAGGUUCAAAGCACAGAAAGGUGGCUACGGUGGCUGGAAUUUGGUGAGCAAGCAAGAGGCACCUGACAAGCUUCCUGCUGGAUCAAGAGCUGUGGGAGAAGGGGAAAAAAAAAAUCUGCGCAUAUUCUUUAGAUUCUGUUGAAGGCAGCGUGGAAAGUGCCUGGAGGGAAGUCAGUACUACAGCAAGUAAGACCUUGUUUCCUCCAGCUGUUUGUGGUAUAGGCAGUGGGGGUGGGAG